CCUGCCCUACCCGGUGCGUGACGGGUCUUUUUAAACCCACAUUUCGUUAUACGGGAUGUCCUCCUCGCGGGACGGUUUGCAGGCCUCUCGGCUACGGCUGAAUGUUGGAAGCAGUGAAAUUCCGCGGAGACAACCCACCUGCUGUUCGGUGCAGGUUAUAACUGGAUUCGCACGGCCGGCGUGGGGCUUUU
RNAcentral lists this non-coding RNA (191 nucleotides) under Papillibacter cinnamivorans DSM 12816. Its description in RNAcentral is "6S / SsrS RNA". It matches the Rfam family "6S / SsrS RNA". From Rfam's summary of the family: E. coli 6S RNA was the first non coding RNA to be sequenced, but its function was unknown until recently. The record is from Rfam by way of RNAcentral. Lineage: Bacteria; Bacillati; Bacillota; Clostridia; Eubacteriales; Oscillospiraceae.